GACGAACGUUGGCGGCGUGCUUAACACAUGCAAGUCGAACGGAAAGGCCCUGCUUUUGUGGGGUGCUCGAGUGGCGAACGGGUGAGUAACACGUGAGUAACCUGCCCUUGACUUUGGGAUAACUUCAGGAAACUGGGGCUAAUACCGGAUAGGAGCUCCUGCUGCAUGGUGGGGGUUGGAAAGUUUCGGCGGUUGGGGAUGGACUCGCGGCUUAUCAGCUUGUUGGUGGGGUAGUGGCUUACCAAGGCUUUGACGGGUAGCCGGCCUGAGAGGGUGACCGGCCACAUUGGGACUGAGAUACGGCCCAGACUCCUACGGGAGGCAGCAGUGGGGAAUAUUGCACAAUGGGCGGAAGCCUGAUGCAGCAACGCCGCGUGCGGGAUGACGGCCUUCGGGUUGUAAACCGCUUUCGCCUGUGACGAAGCGUGAGUGACGGUAAUGGGUAAAGAAGCACCGGCUAACUACGUGCCAGCAGCCGCGGUGAUACGUAGGGUGCGAGCGUUGUCCGGAUUUAUUGGGCGUAAAGGGCUCGUAGGUGGUUGAUCGCGUCGGAAGUGUAAUCUUGGGGCUUAACCCUGAGCGUGCUUUCGAUACGGGUUGACUUGAGGAAGGUAGGGGAGAAUGGAAUUCCUGGUGGAGCGGUGGAAUGCGCAGAUAUCAGGAGGAACACCAGUGGCGAAGGCGGUUCUCUGGGCCUUUCCUGACGCUGAGGAGCGAAAGCGUGGGGAGCGAACAGGCUUAGAUACCCUGGUAGUCCACGCUGUAAACGGUGGGUACUAGGUGUGGGGUCCAUUCCACGGGUUCCGUGCCGUAGCUAACGCUUUAAGUACCCCGCCUGGGGAGUACGGCCGCAAGGCUAAAACACAAAGGAAUUGACGGGGCCCCGCACAAGCGGCGGAGCAUGCGGAUUAAUUCGAUGCAACGCGUAGAACCUUACCUGGGUUUGACAUGGAUCGGGAGUGCUCAGAGAUGGGUGUGCCUCUUUUGGGGUCGGUUCACAGGUGGUGCAUGCCUGUCGUCAGCUCGUGUCGUGAGAUGUUGGGUUAAGUCCCGCAACGAGCGCAACCCUUGUUCACUGUUGCCAGCACGUUAUGGUGGGGACUCAGUGGAGACCGCCGGGGUCAACUCGGAGGAAGGUGGGGAUGACGUCAAGUCCUCAUGCCCCUUAUGUCCAGGGCUUCACGCAUGCUACAAUGGCUGGUACAGAGAGUGGCGAGCCUGUGAGGGUGAGCGAAUCUCGGAAAGCCGGUCUCAGUUCGGAUUGGGGUCUGCAACUCGACCUCAUGAAGUCGGAGUCGCUAGUAAUCGCAGAUCAGCAACGCUGCGGUGAAUACGUUCCCGGGGCU
Molecule: ribosomal RNA, 1346 nt
Filed under: uncultured bacterium
Lineage: Bacteria
Description: bacterial SSU rRNA
Rfam family: Bacterial small subunit ribosomal RNA
Source: RNAcentral